RNAcentral lists this ribosomal RNA (253 nucleotides) under uncultured bacterium. Its description in RNAcentral is "partial 16S ribosomal RNA". It matches the Rfam family "Bacterial small subunit ribosomal RNA", at positions 524 to 776 of the family's 1533-position model. The record is from RNAcentral.
UACAGAGGUCUCAAGCGUUGUUCGGAUUCAUUGGGCGUAAAGGGUGCGUAGGCGGCGCGGUAAGUCGGGUGUGAAAUCUCGGAGCUUAACUCCGAAACUGCAUUCGAUACUGCCGUGCUUGAGGACUGGAGAGGAGACUGGAAUUUACGGUGUAGCGGUGAAAUGCGUAGAUAUCAGGAAGAACACCAAUGGCGAAGGCAGCUCUCUGGGACGGUACUGACGCUGAGACGCGAAGGCGUGGGGAGCGAACAGG